CCUACGGGAGGCUGCAGUGGGGAAUAUUGGACAAUGGGGGGAACCCUGAUCCAGCCAUGCCGCGUGUGUGAAGAAGGCCCUCGGGUUGUAAAGCACUUUCAGUGAGGAAGAACGCCUGGUGGUUAAUACCCAUCAGGAAAGACAUCACUCACAGAAGAAGCACCGGCUAACUCCGUGCCAGCAGCCGCGGUAAUACGGAGGGUGCGAGCGUUAAUCGGAAUUACUGGGCGUAAAGCGCGCGUAGGUGGCUUGAUAAGCCGGUUGUGAAAGCCCCGGGCUCAACCUGGGAACGGCAUCCGGAACUGUCAAGCUAGAGUGCAGGAGAGGAAGGUAGAAUUCCCGGUGUAGCGGUGAAAUGCGUAGAGAUCGGGAGGAAUACCAGUGGCGAAGGCGGCCUUCUGGACUGACAAUGACACUGAGGUGCGAAAGCGUGGGUAGCAAACAGGAUUAGAUACCCCGGUAGUC
This 465-nucleotide ribosomal RNA is filed under the name Vreelandella stevensii. RNAcentral's name for it is "partial 16S ribosomal RNA". It matches the Rfam family "Bacterial small subunit ribosomal RNA", at positions 338 to 795 of the family's 1533-position model. Lineage: Bacteria; Pseudomonadati; Pseudomonadota; Gammaproteobacteria; Oceanospirillales; Halomonadaceae. The record is from RNAcentral.